GGUGACUCAUAGUAACUGAUCGGAUCGCAUGGGCCUGUCCCGCGACAAACCAUUCAAGUUUCUGCCCCAUCAGCUUUCGAUGGUAGUGUAUUGGACUACCAUGGCUUUUACGGGUAACGGAGGAUUAGGGUUCGAUUCCGGAGAGGGAGCCUGAGAAACGGCUACCACAUCCAAGGAAGGCAGCAGGCGCGUAAAUUACCCAAUCCUGACUCAGGGAGGUAGUGACAAGAAAUAACGGGCCGGGA
This 245-nucleotide ribosomal RNA is filed under the name uncultured Spirotrichea. RNAcentral's name for it is "partial small subunit ribosomal RNA". It matches the Rfam family "Eukaryotic small subunit ribosomal RNA", at positions 245 to 490 of the family's 1831-position model. The record is from RNAcentral. Lineage: Eukaryota; Ciliophora; Spirotrichea.